Molecule: long non-coding RNA, 1079 nt
Organism: Haliotis rubra (blacklip abalone)
Lineage: Eukaryota; Metazoa; Mollusca; Gastropoda; Lepetellida; Haliotidae
Exons: 5
Source: RefSeq, a predicted model, not a curated record
GUGUUCGCUACCCCAGCUCUGACAACAGACAAGAUACGACGAUCAACAAACCUUGGUUUGAAAGUUCCAGAUAUCUGCAGCAACAUGAGCGUUCAGUCAGAAAUAAAAGUUGUCUUGUACAGCAAUACCAACCUCACUGGCGACUGUGUACCAGUCUCUACAGACAUACCGGAUUUGAAAAACUUUAAGAACAGAGCUCAGUCAGCCAUUGUAAUCCAUGGAAAAUGGGAGCUGAAAAGCGCUGCGGGAAAUACAUACCCUCUUGACGAGACAGUCGGAAAGUAUAAUGACCUCGGUACUUUCAAACAAAAGGCCAUCUCCAUCACCCGAGUAUAAGGUGCCGUGGCCAUGAAGGAGACCCUCCCAACAAAGGGACAUACCAGCCACCUGCAUUUCUGCAAUUUCCUCUGCACUUUCCUGUACUCUUGAUUUUCCUUUACUCCAGAUUAUUAUGCUUUUAAUGUCUAACAUUUGGCUAUGCUCAAGUGGGUUUGCUUGAGGUGGGGAUAGGAACCGACGUAGGUUGUAAGGGUGUGGUUAUGACAGUGUUCAGGGACACAUGGGUUUACUCUCACUGCCUCUUGGGACAGUUCAAGUCAAAAUCACGAAUGGUCAUAAUAUCUACAGAUAAACUAACUCGACACAGCAAUUACAUCAUCUAAAUCCAACAAUUGUGGCUUUAAUCUCUCAGUAAAAUGAUUACAAAGUACGAUGCAGAAAAUUAUUGUUCAUUACUAUUCUGUAGUUCUAUGUGUAACAUCAAUUUUUCACCUGUGCACUUUGCUUCACAUAUACUAUGAUUCGUUUUGAACAAUGAAAGCUAAGAAGAUGAAGGUCACAUUGCGUUGUUGAAAUUAAGCCUCAAAUUGAAGAAACUGUAUUGAUAUUUGAACAGGUGCAGAGCAAAAUUAGGAGCAGUCCAUUUUAAAGCGUUCGCUACUGUUGAUGAUGAAUUCAGUUUUGUACAUUACGUUAUUUGACACUAUUAUGACACUAUACAGAGUAAAGAAAUAAUAGACAAAUGUGGGAAAAUUGUGAUUCCUUUCGUUGUUGAAAAUAAACAUUUGAUAAAAUUUUAA